Molecule: unclassified non-coding RNA, 408 nt
Filed under: soil metagenome
Description: partial contains 5.8S ribosomal RNA, internal transcribed spacer 2, and large subunit ribosomal RNA
Rfam family: 5.8S ribosomal RNA (bases 1-120)
Source: RNAcentral
GAUGAAGAACGUAGCGAAAUGCGAUACGUAAUGUGAAUUGCAGAAUUCAGUGAAUCAUCGAAUCUUUGAACGCAUCUUGCGCUUGCUGGUAUUCCGGCAAGCAUGCCUGUUUGAGUGUCAUGAAACUUAUCAACCGUGACUUGGGUUUAGGCCCCUGGCUCGGCUUGGAUUUGGGUGCUUGCGGCCUCGUGCUGCUCACCUUAAAAGGAUUAGCUGGACAUGUCGUGAGACUUGGUUCUACUUGGCGUAAUAAGUAUUUCGCUGAGGACAUCCCCUCGUGGGGUGGCCAAGACUCUAGUGCAAACGUCUGCUUUCUAACCCGAUCGUCCUCGGACAUCACUUUUUAUGAUCUGGCCUCAAAUCAGGUAGGACUACCCGCUGAACUUAAGCAUAUCAAUAAGAGGAGGA